UGAAUCUUACAUUUUUCAAGCUGUCUCAAAGCUUAUUUUAUGUUGACAUAUUUCAAAGCUUGCAAAAUUCUUGCUCAGGCCGAGAUGGAGAGUUCAAAAUGAAAGGAAAGUGCAUAGACAAGAGCAUUACUUCAUAACCCAUUUAACUAGAGAGAAAUGAUCAUUUGUGGAAUCCCUCACGUUAUCAUCCUGCUAUUUUAAAACACUCCUGUUUAUAGUAGGCCUGGCUUGGUGAGAAUUCAUUGCAGACCAGGUGGCCACCUCCUGCUCAGUCCCCUCUUCAGAACCUAUUUCAAAACAAGUCAUCCACUGUGACUGCUGCUUGGCAGAUCCCAAAUCACGGUACACAGGGAGCCCUAAGGAUUGAUUCAUUUAUCUCAGCAUCCUGGGGCCUCACAUAACACAGGGCAAAAAUACAUACUCCUAGACUUGGCAUGAGACUUGGCUCUAUUAAUACAUUUUAGCUUCUAUUAUCUACUCCUAACUUAUUUGUUUGAUCAUUUUUUCCACAAAUGUUCAAUAAGGAACUACCAUGUUCAAAACAUAGUGCUGGCCAGGCACAGGAGCUCA
Molecule: long non-coding RNA, 570 nt
Filed under: Homo sapiens (human)
Lineage: Eukaryota; Metazoa; Chordata; Mammalia; Primates; Hominidae
Description: HSALNT0140698
Source: RNAcentral